This 512-nucleotide long non-coding RNA is filed under the name Cricetulus griseus (Chinese hamster). RNAcentral's name for it is "lncRNA (ENSCGRG00015031133.1)". The record is from RNAcentral. Lineage: Eukaryota; Metazoa; Chordata; Mammalia; Rodentia; Cricetidae.
GAAAGACCAGAGCUAACAUGGGGUUAGCUCAUUAAAUUACAAUAAAGCCUCAUGCAGUUUGCAUCAAGCUCUCGAAUCUGCCUGGUGAUUAGGGUGACCGCGAUCAUGGCCUGGGACCCCGGAUUCCUGAGUUUUCCGGGGGUCUAACAUUUGGGGGCAUGUCCGCCAUUUGCGACCACCCCUCACCUGAGUGGAUUCAAUCUUGGAGCUGUUAGAAUCUGUCUCCAUACUAACCACCCCAUCCCUGGAUUCCACCUCAACUGUGAUCGGCAGAUGUGCCAGGAGGAUUACAGACUGCUGCUCUGAGGACACCCAGGAGGAUCCACCACGCCACCCCCUUUCUAUCCCCACCUGCGGGUCUGUGAGGCAUGCCAAGUGGGGCUGUUUCUGCCCCAGCUGCCGUCCUGCCUGCCUCGGGAGUUUCCCUGCUCUGAGGGAACAUGGCUACAAGGCCGCCAUCUGCCUGGCUGCCCGGCCUUCUCUGUGCUCCACACACAUGGUAUGCAGGGGGG